This 334-nucleotide unclassified non-coding RNA is filed under the name uncultured fungus. RNAcentral describes it as "partial internal transcribed spacer 1". The record is from RNAcentral. Lineage: Eukaryota; Fungi.
GUCGGUAAGCUGUUCGCGAGAGACAUCCAGAUGCGUCACCAGACGCACAAUCGGCGCGGCGUUAAUCAGGAUAUUCCGUUCCCGCAAAUAGUCGCCAAGCGCGGCGGCCUGUGCUUCGCCAACGCGAACAAACAGCAUAUUCGUUUCGUGGCGCAUGACCUCCGCGCCCGCUUCCCGAAGCUGCUGCGCCAGCCAGGCGGCGUUAUCAUGAUCCUCUUGCAGACGCGCCACGUUAUGCUUCAGCGCAUACAGUCCGGCCGCUGCCAGAAUCCCGGCCUGACGCAUUCCGCCGCCGACCAUUUUACGCCAGCGCGUCGCGCGUUUAAUGUAGUCG